Podarcis lilfordi (Lilford's wall lizard) is the source of this 97-nucleotide non-coding RNA. The record is from the annotation of a GenBank genome assembly. Lineage: Eukaryota; Metazoa; Chordata; Lepidosauria; Squamata; Lacertidae.
UUCUGCUUAAGAGCUCAGUCGGUAGAGCACGAGACUCUUAAUCUCAGGGUUGUGCUUGCUAAAAAUUGGAAAACUCAAGAACUACCAACAGUGGAAG